RNAcentral lists this long non-coding RNA (303 nucleotides) under Mytilus galloprovincialis (Mediterranean mussel). Lineage: Eukaryota; Metazoa; Mollusca; Bivalvia; Mytilida; Mytilidae. The record is from RNAcentral.
AUUAAUUAGGAAAUUUAUUAAAAAGGAAUUAAACAAUUCAAUGACAAUCAUGUACGCUUUGGACACUUAAUAACGAUCUGUUCAAAUAUUAUAGACAUAUAUACCCUGAAGCCAAUAAAUGACCAUGUCUACUAUGAAAUAACAUGUAUCCUUCAGGGGUUUAAUUGCAUAGUUUGACAAUUAACCAUAGACUAGAAUGAUUUAACAUCCAGACGACUAUGUAAUCGGCCUACAGCUUUUUGUAUGGACCACUGGACUAUAUAAGAUUCCUCAAUGGACUACAAGGACGGAAUUCGAUUAGAC